RNAcentral lists this ribosomal RNA (301 nucleotides) under uncultured bacterium. RNAcentral's name for it is "partial 16S ribosomal RNA". It matches the Rfam family "Bacterial small subunit ribosomal RNA", at positions 509 to 809 of the family's 1533-position model. The record is from RNAcentral.
CAGCCGCCGCGGGAAUACGUAGGUGGCGAGCGUUGUCCGGAAUUAUUGGGCGUAAAGGGAGCGCAGGCGGACAUAUAAGUCCAUCUUAAAAGUGCGGGGCUCAACCCCGUGAGGGGAUGGAAACUGUAUGCCUUGAGUGCAGGAGAGGAAAGCGGAAUUCCCAGUGUAGCGGUGAAAUGCGUAGAUAUUGGGAGGAACACCAGUGGCGAAGGCGGCUUUCUGGACUGUAACUGACGCUGAGGCUCGAAAGCCAGGGGAGCGAACGGGAUUAGAUACCCCUGUAGUCCCUGUCUCUUAUAUA